Long non-coding RNA from Nyctereutes procyonoides (raccoon dog), 1659 nucleotides. RefSeq lists it as uncharacterized. NCBI's taxonomy places the organism in Eukaryota, Metazoa, Chordata, Mammalia, Carnivora, Canidae. The transcript is spliced from 2 exons. The record is from RefSeq and is a predicted model, not a curated record.
CGCCGGCCGCGCGGGGGCCGCCGGACUCUGGCCGCCGGGGCUCGCUCGGGCGCCCUCGCUUAGCGGCCGGGGAUUCGGUUCCGGGAAGCGGGAGCUGCGGGCUAAGGACGUCGCGGCGGAGGGACUGAGAGGCUACCGGGGGAGCGGCGGGCUGCGGGGCGGGGAGGGGGAUGCUCUAAACGACGCGGGGGCUCGGGGCGCCCCGGGAGGGCCAGGCCGGGGUCCUGUGCGCGGUCUGGGGGCCCAGGCCUCGAACCCUGCUCCCGGGAGUCCCGACGGGGGGGUGGCGGUGUGCCUCCCCCCAGGCGGCCUGGGAACCCGGCUGUCGGGCAACUGCGCUCCCCCCCGCCGCCUGCCCCGCUUCGGCGCCGGUGGCACAGGCUCCCGGCGGGGCCGCCCAGGAGCAGAGAGAGAGACCGGGCUGCUGCUGCCGUGACACCUCCUCCUCUGUGGAAAGGCUUUCACGGCCCUUGUAGGCGCCUGCCCGCAGGCGGGGAGGAGGGCGCCGUGCAGGCUCGCUGCACAAAAACAGCUCCCGGGACGCUGCUGACUGUGUCCAGCUGGCCCGCUGCUACUUAGUUGGCGGUUUCUUGCAUAACUGUGACUGCGGGUCUCAGUUACAACCCUUUUAAGGGUCGGAGGAAACACCCUUUCCAGCGUGGCGCUGCUGUCCGGCUUCACUCGUGUUGAGAGCAUUCCAAGAUUUUAUUUAUUUAUUCAUAGAGACACAAGACACAGGCAGAGGGAGAAGCAGGCUCCACGCCGGGAGCCCGACGGUGGGUGGGACUCGAUCCCGGGACUCCAGGAUCAGGCCCUGGGCUGAAGGCAGGUGCUAAACCGAUUUGGUGCCAAGGCCCACCUUCCAAGGCAGAGGAGCAUGAAUGUGGUAGCUGCGUUCUCAAAACGAUCCUUUUCAUCUCUUCGGAAAUAACUUCUGUUUUAGUCCACCAGCUGCUGGAACAGUUUGGUUUAGAGGCCUCAGAGAGAUCUCAAAACAUCAUCCCAAGUAUGUGGAAGGAAGUAGGAAAAGGCAAACAAGUACACGUGGUCUGCUAAAAUACAUGUAUAUAUAUGUACAUGUUUAUCAAUAAGUAGUAAAACAAAAUGUAGCACUGCCAUCAUUUGUAAAACGAGCUGUGCUCAGCCUCUUUUUCUUGUAUCUUUUUUUUUUCCUAAUUACUAAAUCGCUGUAAUGCUGGGUUGUGAAGAAGAUCGUAACAAGUAAUCCAUUUUUGAAGUCCCGAAAAGUAGAGAGGAACUGCCAGUGUCUAAUAUUAAAGGUGAUAGUAAUUCAAAAUUAAUGAUGAAGGUGCCUUAACGAUUGGAGCUUCCUGUGCCUCACACCAGUUUCUUUAUUGGAUUACUAGAGUGGUAAGUAAAAGGGAAAAGCCCCAAGAACACAGUAACCAUGGCAGUUAAAGAAUUCUGGAAUCAGAAGAAGGAUGCGGAUGAUAAAGUCUUGAAUUAAUAUCUGUACUACAUUUUAUCAUUAUCUCACAAAAAAAAGGAUUGUACGAGUUACAUGUGUGUUUUCUGAAAGCACAUCACAAGCUUCUUAAACUAUGCCAUUUGGACGUAAUAUACUACACGUAAACUCUGUAGACGCUUUUCUUGCAAAAUAAGUCUUAGUAAAUUUGUAAUAAAAUAUUGAACCUUGGA